GUUGGAGGUAAACGAACCCAUGGAAGAUAUCUCCUUAUAAGGCAGAGGAUUGAGUUUCCGGGGGAUAAAUUGGGCCCUUCAAAUGAGCAAGGAUUGCCAUCUACUGAACAAGGUGAUGUAAGGAGGGAGACUGCACAGCCCUUUAAACUCCCUAUGAUAGACAAUCACCAACCAAACAGGGAGACUGCUAUGACAGCAGUAGAAAAUAACGUGAAUAAUAGCGUAAAAGUGGAGAAUGAGUUGAUUGACCUUAACUCCAGA
This 261-nucleotide unclassified non-coding RNA is filed under the name Hevea brasiliensis (rubber tree). Lineage: Eukaryota; Viridiplantae; Streptophyta; Magnoliopsida; Malpighiales; Euphorbiaceae. The record is from RNAcentral.